This 464-nucleotide ribosomal RNA is filed under the name uncultured bacterium. Its description in RNAcentral is "partial 16S ribosomal RNA". It matches the Rfam family "Bacterial small subunit ribosomal RNA", at positions 28 to 507 of the family's 1533-position model. The record is from RNAcentral.
GACGAACGCUGGCGGCGUGCUUAACACAUGCAAGUCGAACGGUAAGGCCCCAGCUUGCUGGGGUACACGAGUGGCGAACGGGUGAGUAACACGUGGGUGACCUGCCCCGCACUUCGGGAUAAGCCUGGGAAACUGGGUCUAAUGCCGGAUAGGACCGCACCGUGAGGGUGUGGUGGAGAGUUUUUCGGUGUGGGAUGGGCCCGCGGCCUAUCAGCUUGUUGGUGGGGUAAUGGCCUACCAAGGCGGCGACGGGUAGCCGGCCUGAGAGGGUGGACGGCCACAUUGGGACUGAGACACGGCCCAGACUCCUACGGGAGGCAGCAGUGGGGAAUAUUGCACAAUGGGCGGAAGCCUGAUGCAGCGACGCCGCGUGGGGGAUGACGGCCUUCGGGUUGUAAACUCCUUUCACCAUCGACGAAGGUUUUCUGACGGUAGAUGGAGAAGAAGCACCGGCUAACUACGUG